GAUUUAAUUAUAGUUGUGAAAUAGUUAAGGAGUAUAGUUAUAAACUUUCAUAAUAAAAAAAUGUUAUAACCCUUAAAAUUGGGAGAUAGAGGGCAACAAAGAAAGAGUCAGUGUUCAUUUCUUCAGUGGGCGGUAAAUAGAUAACACAUAAAAAUUAAUAAAUCAAGAAACAGAAGUCAAGUAACAAACUUAACAGAUAUUGAAAUUAAGCUUGUAAUCACACUACAAAUCAGUUAACAAUGUAACAAUGUAUUGCUAUUUUAUUGCAGGCAAGUAACAAAAAGAUUUACUGUUCAUCUGGUGCCUUUGCAGCCUUUGUAUCUUUAAAAAUCCCACCUUCGUGCAUCAUAUUUAUAAUAUUGAAAACAUUGCAGAUGUGUUGUAUUUACCUAGUUAGAUAAUGAUACUUUUAUUUAUAAAGUAACAGUCCAGGACCACAUAGUUAUUA
This 448-nucleotide long non-coding RNA is filed under the name Bos taurus (domestic cattle). RNAcentral's name for it is "long non-coding RNA NONBTAT022562". Lineage: Eukaryota; Metazoa; Chordata; Mammalia; Artiodactyla; Bovidae. The record is from RNAcentral.